This 740-nucleotide ribosomal RNA is filed under the name uncultured bacterium. Its description in RNAcentral is "bacterial SSU rRNA". It matches the Rfam family "Bacterial small subunit ribosomal RNA", at positions 8 to 749 of the family's 1533-position model. The record is from RNAcentral.
AGAGUUUGAUCCCGGUUCAGGAUGAACGCUGGCGGCGUGCUUAACACAUGCAAGUCNAGCGGAGAUAUAAAAAGGAAGCCCUUCGGGGUGGAAUUUUUACAUCUUAGCGGCGGACGGGUGCGUAACACGUGGGUAACCUGCCCCUAUCACUGGGAUAACACACUGAAAAGUGUGCUAAUACCAGAUAAUAUAAGCUUUUGGCAUCAUUAGCUUAUCAAAGAAUUUCGGAUAGGGAUGGGCCCGCGUCUGAUUAGCUAGUUGGUGAGGUAACGGCUCACCAAGGCAACGAUCAGUAGCCGACCUGAGAGGGUGAUCGGCCACACUGGAACUGAGACACGGUCCAGACUCCUACGGGAGGCAGCAGUGGGGAAUAUUGCACAAUGGGCGAAAGCCUGAUGCAGCAACGCCGCGUGAGCGAUGAAGGCCUUCGGGUCGUAAAGCUCUGUCCUAUGGGAAGAUAAUGACGGUACCAUAGGAGGAAGCCCCGGCUAACUACGUGCCAGCAGCCGCGGUAAUACGUAGGGGGCAAGCGUUAUCCGGAAUUACUGGGCGUAAAGGGUGCGUAGGCGGUUUAUCAAGUCAGGGGUGAAAGGCUACGGCUCAACCGUAGUGAGCCUCUGAAACUGGUGAACUUGAGUGUAGGAGAGGAAAGUGGAAUUCCCAGUGUAGCGGUGAAAUGCGUAGAUAUUGGGAGGAACACCAGUGGCGAANGCGACUUUCUGGACUACAACUGACGCUGA